This 1459-nucleotide ribosomal RNA is filed under the name uncultured bacterium. RNAcentral's name for it is "bacterial SSU rRNA". It matches the Rfam family "Bacterial small subunit ribosomal RNA". The record is from RNAcentral.
CUGGCUCAGGACGAACGCUGGCGGCGUGCUUAACACAUGCAAGUCGAACGGAAAGGCCCUGCUUUUGUGGGGUGCUCGAGUGGCGAACGGGUGAGUAACACGUGAGUAACCUGCCCUUGACUUUGGGAUAACUUCAGGAAACUGGGGCUAAUACCGGAUAGGAGCUCCUGCUGCAUGGUGGGGGUUGGAAAGUUUCGGCGGUUGGGGAUGGACUCGCGGCUUAUCAGCUUGUUGGUGGGGUAGUGGCUUACCAAGGCUUUGACGGGUAGCCGGCCUGAGAGGGUGACCGGCCACAUUGGGACUGAGAUACGGCCCAGACUCCUACGGGAGGCAGCAGUGGGGAAUAUUGCACAAUGGGCGGAAGCCUGAUGCAGCAACGCCGCGUGCGGGAUGACGGCCUUCGGGUUGUAAACCGCUUUCGCCUGUGACGAAGCGUGAGUGACGGUAAUGGGUAAAGAAGCACCGGCUAACUACGUGCCAGCAGCCGCGGUGAUACGUAGGGUGCGAGCGUUGUCCGGAUUUAUUGGGCGUAAAGGGCUCGUAGGUGGUUGAUCGCGUCGGAAGUGUAAUCUUGGGGCUUAACCCUGAGCGUGCUUUCGAUACGGGUUGACUUGAGGAAGGUAGGGGAGAAUGGAAUUCCUGGUGGAGCGGUGGAAUGCGCAGAUAUCAGGAGGAACACCAGUGGCGAAGGCGGUUCUCUGGGCCUUUCCUGACGCUGAGGAGCGAAAGCGUGGGGAGCGAACAGGCUUAGAUACCCUGGUAGUCCACGCUGUAAACGGUGGGUACUAGGUGUGGGGUCCAUUCCACGGGUUCCGUGCCGUAGCUAACGCUUUAAGUACCCCGCCUGGGGAGUACGGCCGCAAGGCUAAAACUCAAAGGAAUUGACGGGGCCCCGCACAAGCGGCGGAGCAUGCGGAUUAAUUCGAUGCAACGCGUAGAACCUUACCUGGGUUUGACAUGGAUCGGGAGUGCUCAGAGAUGGGUGUGCCUCUUUUGGGGUCGGUUCACAGGUGGUGCAUGGCUGUCGUCAGCUCGUGUCGUGAGAUGUUGGGUUAAGUCCCGCAACGAGCGCAACCCUUGUUCACUGUCGCCAGCACGUUAUGGUGGGGACUCAGUGGAGACCGCCGGGGUCAACUCGGAGGAAGGUGGGGAUGACGUCAAGUCAUCAUGCCCCUUAUGUCCAGGGCUUCACGCAUGCUACAAUGGCUGGUACAGAGAGUGGCGAGCCUGUGAGGGUGAGCGAAUCUCGGAAAGCCGGUCUCAGUUCGGAUUGGGGUCUGCAACUCGACCUCAUGAAGUCGGAGUCGCUAGUAAUCGCAGAUCAGCAACGCUGCGGUGAAUACGUUCCCGGGGCUUGUACACACCGCCCGUCAAGUCAUGAAAGUUGGUAACACCCGAAGCCGGUGGCCUAACCGUUGUGGCGGAGCCGUCGAAGGUGGGACUGGUGAUUACGAAUAAG